Molecule: long non-coding RNA, 1111 nt
Organism: Stegostoma tigrinum
Lineage: Eukaryota; Metazoa; Chordata; Chondrichthyes; Orectolobiformes; Stegostomatidae
Exons: 3
Source: RefSeq, a predicted model, not a curated record
AGCUUAUUUCCUUCAGAGAGUCAACUAAGGUAGUGUCAUGGAGUUAGCCGGGGCACUGUUUCUGGUCACUGCUGGCAGGAAGACUCAAGAGGGAGGCACUUACUCCAAUAGUUGGUGUAAUAAGACAGAGAAGGUAGGUCUGAGAAAAGGGUCAAGGAGCCUCCGGCACCUCCAAAUCUCGAGACUAUGGCCUCGGCACCUCUGUGGUGCCAUGAAUCCUUGAAAAUGGAACCAUGAAAAUUGUGGACUACCAGGAUAUGCGAAACUCCUGGUGACAACCUGCAAUCCUGGGAGUGGAACUGGAACCUGAUUGCCAUUUUCAAAGAACUGAAAAGGUGUCCUGAUUUAGUUAAAAUUUAUGCCAUUGUAUUACAUAAACCCUAAAUCAAUCAUCCUGCUGUACUGUGCAAAGCACAGCACCUGUCUGAUCAUUUCAACAUUAGAGCUGAAAUUUCUCAUUUGAUUGACUUGACAUUUGACUCAGCCUUACUGAGUUUGUUAACUUCUAAGUUUUGAUUUUGUUCAGAAAGGGCUUUCGAACCUUUCUGAUAAUUCAAAUUGAAACACAAGCCAUUAUGGUGGGAGUAGCGGUUUCUUUCUGAUAAUUAAACCCGAAAGACCCGGAGAAGCUCACCUCACCUCACCUAAUCUGUUAAACUGUUACAGAGAAGGGGAGGUUCAAUAAAAGAAAAUUCCUGAUAUUCUCUUCAUAAGUGACAAGUAAUAAUUUAUUUAUUUAACCCUAACAGUGAACAAAUUAACCAACAUGCUGACAAACCAGACAAUGCCCCCCUAGCUACCAACUAUUCCCUUACCCAACUAAAUUCUACUGGUAGUCUGUUCUAUUAAACACAAAUCCUACUUAUAUAACCCAAGUAAUGAGAAAAUAAAUUGAAACUUUGUCUCUCCAAGUUUAUGCAUCUUCUUUCUGCUGAUCUCAAGUCAUAAAUGCAUUCUUUUUCACUGGUCUGACUAUCAAGGAUGUUAUCUCUGUGAAGUCUUCUGUGAGGACUCUUAGCUAGAAAUGCGGUACCUUUUAGAUGGUGCAGUCUUAGAGAGCUGAGCAAUUUCUUGUGAGAGCUAGAUGCUUAUUUCUCUGAUGGUGAUUCAC